Long non-coding RNA from Passer domesticus (house sparrow), 6282 nucleotides. RefSeq lists it as uncharacterized. The transcript is spliced from 10 exons. The record is from RefSeq and is a predicted model, not a curated record. NCBI's taxonomy places the organism in Eukaryota, Metazoa, Chordata, Aves, Passeriformes, Passeridae.
AUCUUUGAUUUGAGUGAAAUAAAAAGCGGGGCUGAUUGCAUUUAACAAAUUACCCAUCUGCCUCCUGGACCUUGUUGGGGCACCUGUAUCUCAUCCUAUUUUAGGGCAGCACCAGACCCCCUUCCUUUCUCCCCCGGGUUCCUGAGGGUUCUGUGCUGCUCUGCUCCCUGAGCAGGGGUGAAAUUGCAGCAUUCCCUGGGAAUGGAAGGUGGGUUCAAGCAGAAGGUGUAGGUGAGUAAGCUGAAGCCUGUGCUCAUUCUAAGCUGUGCUGUCUUGCCAAAGAAGCUAAAGGCCUCUUAUGUUGGGCUGCUCUUUGCAUUUCUGCAGUGUCAGUCCUGAAGCUGCUGAGAUCACUGUUGUGUCCUGACACUGCAAAGCACAUUCCCAGGUGUGAAGAUGACUUUUGGGAACUACAACUGGCUACCUCCUGCCACCCAACACCAGGCAGCUCAAGACUGUGCCGGAACAAAGAAGGUUUAGUUGAUUUUUAGGAGCUUCGUAUAUGAGUAAACAUGAAGUUGCCUUUUAGGAUGGAUUAGUUAAUGUAUUGAAUAAUAAGCUACUCCAGCUAAAAUGAUUCAUAGAUUUACUUAUGUACUCAUGGUUUUUGGCUGUUCCUGAUGGCUUGUGCUUGGUCAAACCUUGCUGUGCCCAGAAUGGGUUAGGUGGUGUGAGCCUUUAUCAAGUUGCUGAAUAAAAUCCUUAAAUUAGAAUCAAGGUGAAUCUAAGGAGAAGUGGGGCAGAAACACAACAAUUAGGGACACCAUGUCUCCUUUAAGUGACGUGUCAGCUCCACUGCUCCUCCAGAAAUGUGAAUGGAAGUCCUCAGCUGUGGAGCCAUAAAUGGAGUCAUUACAAUGCACUAAUUCAGAGCAAUGUAUCUGUGGGUCUCUGAGUGCUUCAGAACAUGAGUUGUCAUAAUGGUAAACUUUUUGAUUUACAUUUUGCAAUAGCUUAUUUUUACUUUCAGUAGAGUAUUUCCUGCUGUUGCUUUCUUGUGAUUUUAUGCUAGAGGUCUAACAACUUGUGCUUUUUGGUUCAUGCCUGCCCAAGUGGGGAUCACCCACCCAUGAUGACCAAUACACUUGGACUGUGCUCAAAAACAACAAGGGUGGAUUAAACUAUUCCAUUAUUGCAGAUGAAAGAGUUCUCCCCGACAUCUGGCAUAUCAUCUUCAAAACUGAUAUGGAACAUUUCCAUAAAUUCAGCUUAACGUUGUUUUUGUGAGUGUUCCAAAGUAUUUUUAACAUGAAGAAAUAGCAUGCAAACUAAUUUCCUAUUUGAAAGUAAAUGCCUUGUUCUUAUUUCUAAUUCACACAGUUAUUAAAAAAGUAAAAAAUAAAAAAAGGAUGUUCACUUAACUUGAAACAUACUGGUUUGUUUACUUAAGUUAAUGGAAAAGCUCGUCAGUGUUUGAUGUAAAGCUGCCCCCUUGCUUGAAAGAAAACCAAACAACUGCUUAUGAAUUAUGAAUAUCUCCUAAUACUUUCCAGAAUUAUCUGAAGGAUGUAUUUUUUUCUUAAUUACGUACACUUGAAAGUUCCAAGUUCCCUCUUCAUUUCCAUUUUGUUUAUUUCUCUCCUUGGAAACCUCGUAAGCAUUUUCCUUUAGCUAGGCUUGACUGAACAAAAUAUCACUGCUACAACCUGCAAUAUUGGGGAAAUCAAGGCCUGAAAGCUCAUUGUGGUUUUUAAUUAGGAAGUUGAAGCUCAUUAAAGCUUUGCAAGCAUUUUCACAGCACUUACACUGGCAGCUGCUGGAUCCCUGCAAAGGAAAAUAUAAAUAUCUACCCAAAAAGUGAGUUCAGGGCACACUUCAAAAAUCAACUUUCAUUCUGAGACAGCUCAGAAAACAGCUCCUGCAAAAAAUGUUGCUUAUCUUGUAUGCUGGCAUGCCUUCCACUGCUUUAGUCCCAGUCAGAAGUACAGGAACCUGAUUUUGGGGGUUUUUGGUAGUGGAUGUGUCGCUGAUCAGAGCAGCUCUGCUGACACAAGAAACAAGGGACCUUUAGAAGGAACUUCACAUGCAGGACAAGUAACUUAGAGUAUUUGAUAUGAGCCCAAUUUUAUCAAUACCAUCUCAUUCCCCUUCAGCUUUUGCAGGCUGAAUGAGCCUUUUUAGGAAUUCCAGUUUCCAAGCUGAGAACAUUUAAGUUCAAGCUGAGUUCAAUAGCAGCUCUCCAAAGGAGAGGGCUUAUCUAAAUGAUGAUAUUGUUUUUAGCACUAAUCAUCCUAUCUGUUGGCAGUACCAACAUGCUGCAAUCUCCACAGCUCCCCACGUAAAUAAGCAGAUUCCUGAUGCUGUUCCAGCUUCAGAAAUGCCUUUGAAGGCAUUAUUUAGUUCUGAAUUUUUCCUAUGUGGUUAUGUGAUACUUUUAGCAUGUGGCUGGAUGCACCCACAGAUGCCUUGUUUUGAAGAAAUGAACCUAAAACCUAUUUAAAGUGUUAGUGGCAGGCACUGGGCUGUGAAAUAGAAAUGGUUAAAAGAAAUUCUCACUUUCACGCCUCCUACAACUUCUGAAUGAUAGAAGAAUAAAAGCAAGCUAUGGAAAUAGUACUUAAAAAAAGACACAUCAGUCGAUUUGGUCCAAAAUAUACUCUAGGGAUGGGAGGGGACUGGAAGAGCUGGGAUAGAAAAACACAAUGUUCAGGUUGCACAGUUCAAGUGCAGUGAAAGGGUGUGCAGAAGUUAAGGUUUCUGUGGCAAUAGAAAUUUGACUGUGCCAAAAACCAGCAGUGUUAGUUCUGAUCUAACAAAACCAUCAGGAACUGGAUCUUAUAAAUUUUUGUUUGUCUGUUUUUCCCUAAGAAUUCUUAUUAACUGCCUCCUCCUUAGAACUUAAGUGGAAAAUUCAAUUUUCCAUGUAAUUCUUCACAUGAAGAGGGCUUAAAAUUGAGUUUGAAGUUUUAAAAAUUCUUUGUUUGCAAGAGAAUAGAUACAAGAGGCAAAGCCAGGCAGGAUCAAAAGUGAGGCAGAGGCAGCAGGGGAAAAGAAAUCAAUCCUUUGAAGAUAAAAUUACAAAAAAAAAAAAAAAGGAAAAGCAGUAUGGAUACUAAUGAAGGAAGGAAAAUGAACAUGGGAAAAGCAAGACAGGAGCCCAGGGGAGGUUUUGGAAAAGGGGAGAUGGAUGAGAGGGGUAACUGAAAUAAGCUGAGGGUGUGCAGUCCACUGGAGUUAGUAAGCUACAGCAGUGCUUGGGAAGUAUUUGUUGUUCUUUCAAAAACCUGACAAAAAAAUUCUGAAAACUGAAAAUUAUUAUUAUUUUUGGCCCCACUCUAAGAUUUUUCUGGGGUUUAGCCACAUUUUUUUUUUCUGUGUUUGGGAACAUAAAAAAAGGAAAAAAAGACACCAAAAAAUACUUUGUUCUUUCAAUGAGUCAGUAAUAAAUAAAAAUGAACAUUCUAAAAACCAGAAGUUUCCUUGGGAAGAGAGAGCUGUUUCUUCUUCCAAAUUUCCUUUGCCUUAAAAUUGGGAUGUGCUCUGCUCUCAGGCUGAGGAUCUGCCUUCCCAGCUGCCUUUAAGCAAUCAAGUAGAAGUAGCAAUUGAAAGAGCUUUGCUCCUUUCUUACUUUUUUUUUUUUCCCCUGGUGUUUGGCUGGGAAGUUGCAUGGGUUUGCCUCAGAGUAGAUGCUGUGCUACCAUAAUCCUGGCACUUUUCACUGCAAAUGAGAUUUCAGCAGUGUUUCCUAGAGUAAGUGGAGAACUCCUGAAGCAUUCUGAACAUCCAGCUGCAGGGCUGGCGGGAGGGGGAAGUGCAGCAACCUGCUUUGUUUGCCUGAGCAUGUGAUUUUUUUUUUUUUAUUUUUCUUUUUUUUAAAAUACCUUGUGAUCUUCACAGACUCCUGGCGAAGCUUAAAAGACAACAGAGAUCUUACAAGCCCAGUUCAGAUCUUCCAACCUUGUGGCUAGAAGCAUCUAAACCCUUUGACAGUUUUCCAGCUUCUUGAAUUUGUGUCCCAUCAUUGGAGAUGCUCAAGAAAGAUCUUGGAGCUUUGAAAGAUGUGUCUGCAAUGCUGAGAUCCUUCAGAAAUGUUCUAGCAAAUGUGACUCAGUAACCCAGACUACAAGAGUGAAAAUAAAACACAGGUAAGGGCAAUUCCUUUAUACACUAAUUAAUCUGAAGUAGGAAUCAGGUUUGAAAAUGGAGGAAAAAAGUGGUGAUUGAGAGAAAAUCAUCCUGAGAAAAAAACUGGGAAGAGGAGGAGCAGAGAACUUUUCUCAGGAGGCUGAGGAGUGACAGUGCAGGAGACUGGGAGGAAAAACUGCUCAGAGCAAGCACAAUGAGAACAUCCCAGUGGCAAUAGUGUCACUCUAAAAUUACCUGAGAGGUGCUAAAAGCAGCUGCCAGGGUGCUUUGGCCCUGGUUGGGGGCUUGCAUCACUGUGAUGCUGUGGGAUGUAUUCCUUUGAGAGCAGGUUUUGGCACAGGGAGCACAGCCCGUGCUGCCCCGAGUUCUGUUUUGUGCCCUCUGGUGCUGCUGGGUGCAGCAGGUGACAGCCCUCACUCCUGGUGUGGUGUUCCUGACCUGUAGGAUGCACAGACCUGAGUGUCUACAACAGGUACAGGGGAUUCCUCAAGAGAGAAAUGAGUGCUCUGAGCUGUUUAAUGGGGUGCCAAGUGCUCUGGGAUGCCAAGCCAGGACCAGGCAUGAGCACAUUCUUCCCCUUUGCUAUCUGGUGUUAUUCCUGAUUGCAUUGUGAGAAAGACCUCCAGCUUAGAGAGAGGAAUUCUGAAGGAGGACAGAUGGCUGGAGUUUGGACUUUCUUCAGGCCAUGUGCCUUCUGAAUCCAUUUGCUGUGUUUUGUCUGUCAAAACAUGAGCCUCCUCCGAGCUACUAAGGCAACAGGCUUCAAAAAUCAACAAAUGCAGCCCACAAGGAUGACAGCCGAGGUGACUACUGUGUGAUCCCAUUCUUCUGCUGCAAGAAGCCAUGAGAACUGCUAAUGAGUUUACUUCAACUUGAAGUCCAGGGCUUGCCUGCAUAAUCCUAGUUCAGGAAGCUAAGGUGACACCAGUGAUUUGUCAAAUAUGGCAGUGAGCUGUAGCUUGGAAGGGUUUUUCUCCCCAAGGGCUCAUCACUUCAUCAUACCUGAAAACAGUGAUGCUCCUGUGAAGUGAAGCUUGCAUAAAACACUGUUCUGGUGUGAAACACUGCCUGAAGCUUCCGUGGUGGUUCAUGUGUCUUUAUCUGCUCCUACUACCCCAGUGAUAGAAAGGCCAUAACAGCUCCCUGGGGGAUCUUAAAAUGCCAGAAAGUGCUGCAGAAGACACGAGCUAGGUCAGUGUUCACCUCUGGAGUCAGACUUGCUCCUUGGAAGGCUGCAUAUCACUCAUGGGUUUAUUUGUGGUUGUUUCCUUUUAGUUUGAGGUACCAUAAAAAGAUUAUCUAUGCUGAGAAGAGUGGCAAGGGUGCCCUCAGCUCUAGUGAGAUUCUGGACUAUUUCAUUAGUCCUUCUGCACUCAGGUUCACGGGCUCCAGCUUUCUUAGUUGAAGGACCCUCUUGCUGUCUGGAAUUUCCUGUACUCAAGGCAAUCAUAAUUCAGCUCUUUUGGGAAUUUUGUGAGCAGUUUGCACUCCACAACUGGCACUAGGACUUAACAGAGGAUGCACCUGGCAGUGCUUGCUGAGAUGGAGGGUACCUCACAGCAGGAGGAAGGUGAAAUCAUUUGUUAAAAGCUGCUGUGCAGGGGUAGUGGCCUGGGAAUGAUUCAGCCUCCUGAUGCCAGUUCUUCCCAGUGCCUCCCAGUCUGCAAACAAGGGUGGUUUGACCUCACAAAGGCAUAAAUUCAGCAAAACCUAGAUUUUGUCACCACGUACCUGUCAUGGCUCAUGAGGAGCAGUUCCUUUGCUUAUGCCUUGGAAUGCUUUGGAAAGGGGCUCUCUAGGUAAUGUUGUAGUUUUGUAGGGAAUAAUCAAAUCUCUUUAGAUAUUUAUGAAUAAGCCAAAUAAGGAGAGGGACAAACCAAGAUGUGCAAAGGACCAAAAAUAGCAGGGGGGUUUUGUCAGUUUUCUUCAGGAAAAGAAGCCCUGACAGCUCUGUGCUCAACAUGUCUGACGUUUACUCACUUCAUGGGAGCUGGCACUGCAGAGAAUAGGUAUUUAUAGGGAUGUAUUCACACGACUUUGCUUUGCACAGACUACUGAUUUAGAUGUCUAAUUUAGGAGCACAGGCACUCUCUGUCAUCAGCAGAGCCUAAAUGAUGGUCUCUGAGUUACCCCUGAAAGGAGGCACCUUUCUCCAGAGAGUUCAGAGCGACCUGAGGUUCCUAAUUUAGGCCCAUA